GACGAACGCUGGCGGUAUGCUUAACGCAUGCAAGUCGAACGAACAAAAUUGGGGCUUGCUCCAAUUUUAGUGAGUGGCAAACGGGUGAGUAACACGUGGGAAUCUACCUAUCAGUACGGAAUAACAUUUGGAAACAGAUGCUAAUACCGUAUAUUCUCCAAGGAGGAAAGGUUUAUCGCUGAUAGAUGAGCCCGCGCAAGAUAGGGUAGUUGGUAGGGUAAUGGCCUACCAAGCCGACGAUCUUUAGCUGGUCUGAGAGGAUGAUCAGCCACACGGGGACUGGAGCACGGCCCAGACUCCUACAGGAGGCAGAAGUGGGGAAUAUUGGACAAUGGGCGAAAGCCUGUUCCAGCAAUACCGCGUGAAUGAUGAAGGCCUUAGGGUUGUAAAGUUCCUUUAGUUGGAAAGAUAAUGACGGUACCAACAGAAAAAGCCCGGGCUAACUCCGUGCCAGCAGCCGCCGUAA
RNAcentral lists this ribosomal RNA (466 nucleotides) under uncultured bacterium. Its description in RNAcentral is "partial 16S ribosomal RNA". It matches the Rfam family "Bacterial small subunit ribosomal RNA", at positions 28 to 523 of the family's 1533-position model. The record is from RNAcentral.